ACAAAAGGCUCAGUAGAUUAGAAAAUAAAGCAGACCACAUUACAAGUAAAGAAAUUAAUAUUAAUAAUGUCGAAGAAGAUUUUGCUUUCAACACUAUUUCUUCAAUGGAUGAAUUACAACAGUUAGAAGAAAAUUUAAAAAACGAAGAAUUUUUCGUUAAAAUGAGAGACUUUUUGAAAUUGAAAGGUGGAACAAACUUACAAGACAAGAUAAAAAAUAUUUUCAGAACUUUAAUAAAGGACGAAAUAUUAAUGUUAUUUAGCUGGAAAGGAGCUCGAGGAAAAAAUGAAUUCCGAAGUUUUAAGAUUGUCAGUUUAAUUAUAGCUGUUGUUCGUUCAUACGACGCAUAUUCAACCGAGCAAAUAAUUAUAAAAAUUAUUAUCAAUUGGAUCGUUCAAGCUCCUGCACGUGUUCGUA
Camponotus floridanus (Florida carpenter ant) is the source of this 417-nucleotide long non-coding RNA. RefSeq lists it as uncharacterized. The transcript has 3 exons. The record is from RefSeq and is a predicted model, not a curated record. Lineage: Eukaryota; Metazoa; Arthropoda; Insecta; Hymenoptera; Formicidae.